This is a long non-coding RNA of Bombus impatiens (common eastern bumble bee), 2460 nucleotides long. RefSeq lists it as uncharacterized. The transcript is spliced from 3 exons. The record is from RefSeq and is a predicted model, not a curated record. Lineage: Eukaryota; Metazoa; Arthropoda; Insecta; Hymenoptera; Apidae.
CGCGGCGUUGAAUCGCUGUUUCUCGUUGUCGUUCGCCAAACGACUAAAGAUUUGGUGAUCCAAGAGAGGCAAACACAAACGACGGAGUUGAUCGACGACGCGCCACGAGGCUGCUUAACGAGACGACUAAUUCGAACGUGUUAGAUCCACGAGGAGCGGUUGCAACGGUGGUAGUGGUGGUGGUGGCAACGUGUUCGAGUAGGAGUAGCUUGAGGAGAGGGGAGAGGAGGUCCGGUCCUCGCCACCCGCACUUAGCAGCCGGACAGCAAAGAAAGGGAAGGGAGAGGCGAACGGCCGGUCCUCGAAAACACGCAGACGACCCUGAGAAAGAAUUGAAUGGCACAAAACAGACAAUGAAUCUACACUUGCGUGGAACGCGCUUGCAUAUGGUGAAGGUUCGUUUCAGCUGACCAGGGUCGGACAUUGUCAUGUUAAUGAAUAGAAGACACAUUUUCAAGGCAAAACUUGCGCUUGUUCGUGGAUUGCAUGCUACGUAAUUACCUUAUACCUGAACAAAGUCGCGUAUAAUGUAAGCUGACACGAAGAUGAUGAGAUAACAGAGGAAGACGCAAUUUCACGUCGAACUUGAUUUUGAAAUGUACAUUCGACUGAAGGUUGAGUCAACUAAUCCAUUAGCCAUUAGCCUUCUUGUGCUUUGGCAUAACACAAAUUCGGAAAAGUAGAUAUACUAUACAGUCCAAUGUCUCUAAAUAACUUACAUUUUUGGAUGAUUCAUCCUAAUGUAUUUUAAUGGAAUAUUGAAGAGACAGGAAGUAAAUGAUGCAAAAUUAAAGCCAACAACUGAAUACUCGUAUAUCGAUACGGUAUUUGCGAUAUACCUAUCGCAUCAGUACUGAGUUACAAUUGUUAGAAUCCAAUGGUUGCCUUAAAUGCACAGGAAACAAGAAUCGCUGCAAACGAUUAUCUCUUUCAACUGAUUCAAGCUUUUUAACGACAAAGAUUUCUUAUAAUCUAUAAUCUAUAACCUCCUAUAACCUCCAUUUCAUACUGAAGAAAAGUGUAAUAAUUAUCUCAACAAUAUACAUACCGAGAAUUAACCAAGAAAUAUCCCACAAAAACAUCCUCGAAGCAUUCGGAGCAGCAAGUAGUAUUCGAAAAACACUAAAUUGAUCCGCAACUAUCGAUCAACGACCUCAAAGAAAAAUCCGUUGCUUAUUCUCACGAUCGAAGCAAAUUAUUAACCAUCGAACCGGUUAACAAGAUGAAGAGGAACCCGAGCAACACACGACACUCUCGUGCAAGAUAUAACUUGUAAGAACACGUCACUCAUCUAGAAGAGGCGACGACGACGGUUCGUUACUCUGGCUUUCUGGGAAACUUCUUGGAGGUCAUGACUAAUCCAUUCUGCGGCGGAGGAAACGGCGUUGAUGUCUCUACGAACGACGAUUAUGAAGACGUACGAUUUAAGAGAAUAUACAGUCGCCUUGGGAAAUAAGUUAACGCUCCCGCUAAAAGUUUAAAUGUAAGACCGUUAACUUACUUUCCGAGGCGAUUGUGUAUACUUCGUAUGUCGUAAAUUGCUGUAAAUUGCAGCGAAGAAGGUUCUAUAGGUGAAGAUAAGUAGAAAUUGGAGAGUAACGAAAUCGCGUUGAAGAUGUUAUUUUCGAGAAAAAUACAAGGUAUCUCAUUUUAAUCUAUUCGUGCAAUUAUAUUAUCUUCCUAGUUCCAAACUAUUCAUUAUUCGAAAAAAUAUUUUACGUGAAACUUACUUUGUUCCGUGGGGAACAUCUUGUGACGGUCACAAGAUUUACCUAGGUGGACGUGCCUUUGAGGUUUCAAAGAGGCUUUCGUUCUUUUUUAAAUAGACCUAUACAUGUUUUGUACGCCAUUCGAUGCACGUUUUAAUUCUUUACAAGAAAAUAUUAAGAUGCUUGAAUCGAUAAAUGAUUAAUUUAAAAGUCAUUUUAACUGUAAUAUCGCUAAACUUAUCGUAUGGAAUAUAAGGAAAACAUAAGCAAGAAAGCACCACGUUGUCUUACCUUCUCUUUUAGACGAUAAGUUUUACAACAAAGUAAGUUUUACGUGAAAAAUGUAAUGCUCUAGGACAUGCUUCGAAUAAUGAAUAGUUUAGAACGCAGGAGUUUAGGAGAUAAUUACGUAGAUAGAUUAAAGUAAGACAGCAUGUAUAUCUCAAAAUCAGCCGGGUAUAACAGGUAGAAAUCCAUUUAUCUGAAUUCAUCGAAAAAAUGAUACAUUCAUUUUGUAAUAUUAUAUUUCUUCUUUUAUUAAGCUUCCUUUGUCUUAAAAAUAUUUAGUCGUUAUUUUCUAACAGCUAGUGCACCUAAAACAAGUUCAUCUAUCUGAACAUCUGGAGAAGAUCAUAUACUUAAUUUUGCCAUACUUCUUCUAUUACUAAUCAGUUUCCCCUUCAAGUAUUACAUUGUUACCCAAUAAUGCGCCAUACAUCGAUGUUACGAAAUCAAGUCGUAAAUACAUCUU